GCAAGGUGAAUCCUUUGAAGAAGAAAAGGAUGGAUCUUGCUCCUGAACAACCUGAGCUCCAGUCCAAGGAGAAGCCGGUUAAAAAGAGGAGAAGAAUGACAGAAGAGAAGGAUGUGAAGACUGAAAAGACAGAGACCUGUGUAGAGGCACCCUGCCCUGUCAAUAGAAGAGUAAGCAAGGUGAAUCCUUUGAAGAAGAAAAGGAUGGAUCUUGCUCCUGAACAACUUGAACUCCAGAUCAAGGAGAAGCCAGUUAAAAAGAGGAGAAGAAUGACAGAAGAGAAGGAUGUGAAGACUGAAAGACAGAGACCUGUGUAGAGGCACCCUGCCCUGUCAAUAGAAGAGUAAGCAAGGUGAAUCCUUUGAAGAGGAAAGGAUGGAUCUUGCUCUUGAACAACCUGAACUCCAGCCCAAGGAGAAGCCAGUUAAAAAUAGGAGAAGAGAGACAAAAGAGAAGGAUGUGAAGACUGAAAGGACAGCAACCUGUGUAGAGGCAUCCUGCUCUAUCAAUAGAAGAGUAAGCAAGGUGAAUCCUUUGAAGAGGAAAAGGAUGGAUGCUCCUCCUGAAGGACCCGAGCCCCAGCCUAAGGAGCAGAAAAGGGCUGAAAAGAUGAGGAGAACAGAGACAGAAGAGAACAAUGUGAAGACGAAAAAGAGAGCAAACAUUUUCAGUCGCUACACUCUGGGAAAGCGGCUGGGAGAAGGAGCGUUCGCUUUCGUGUAUGCAGGUGUUCGAAAAUCAGAUAGAAAAAAGGUGGCCCUGAAAUUCAUUUACAGGUCUAGAGUUGACCCAUACAUCACCCUUCCUGGCGACACACGCAGACUCCCU
Molecule: long non-coding RNA, 828 nt
Organism: Ictalurus punctatus (channel catfish)
Lineage: Eukaryota; Metazoa; Chordata; Actinopteri; Siluriformes; Ictaluridae
Source: Ensembl